AUGGUAAUCCCUCCAUCUGAAAAAGCUUGUCCCUCAAAUGGACGUAUCUAGCACCAAGUUAGUGCUAGAUACGUCCAUUUGAGGGACAAGCUUGGGAAACAAGCUUUUUCGGACGGAGGGAGUACUUU
Non-coding RNA from Triticum aestivum (bread wheat), 128 nucleotides. The record is from Rfam. Lineage: Eukaryota; Viridiplantae; Streptophyta; Magnoliopsida; Poales; Poaceae.